RNAcentral lists this microRNA (21 nucleotides) under Populus tomentosa. RNAcentral describes it as "Pto-N28". The record is from RNAcentral. Lineage: Eukaryota; Viridiplantae; Streptophyta; Magnoliopsida; Malpighiales; Salicaceae.
AUCGGAGCAGGGACUAGUGAG